CCUCAAGACUUGGCUCUACAUUCACAGGCUGUCUACUGGGAACACUUUGAUUCUCUGCCUGGGGACCUUUUAUUACCAAGGAAGCCCUGCACUCUUGCAAAGAAGCUGAAAGGGCUAGAGAGUUAAUGCCUUCAGAGAAACCUUCAGCCAAAGAUGAAUGCAGUCUGGUAGGUAAUUAUCCUGGCAUUCUGGUCCCUCAGGAUAACUUUGAGGCCUGUUCUAUAUUCUCUCUUAGAAUCCCACAAUUGCGGGGAAAAAAGAAGAGGAAGAAGAAGACGAAUCCCACAAUGAAGCUGUUGUGGGAUUACAGCCACUGUAAGCUCAUCCUGCCGAGGACAUCUGCAGUCAUUCCUGGUGCACUUCUGGAGUAUCUCCUUGGAAGUUUGGAAGAAGUUAGGCCUACAGACGCUGAGAAGCCCUCUGCUGGCCUGUCAGAUCUGAUGAGUCAACUCCUCUGGGGACAAGGUCACAUUGGACGCAGUUGUGUACACCGAUACAGGACACGAAAUUGUCUCCCUGGAGGCCUCCCUGUUGGGCCUCAUCUAUGGUCUCUGCCCCACUAGAGGUUUCCCUGUGUGACCUCACUGAUUGUUUGUCCUGUCUGACUUGUUGUUUGCUGUUUGUCAUUUCUCCAGUGUCUGUCUAUCUUGCCAGCUGUGUCCUGUGUCUAUCUUGUUUGUCUAGCAGUGUGUUGUGCCGGGCCUUUCUUGUUUUCAUAACCACUCUUCUUUCAUCAGGACUCCUUCGCUCCACCGACAUUGUGGGACAAGGAAGUUCUACAGAGAACUGGCCUCCCUAGGUCACAUCUGACUCUGGUUUCUGUCUUUGUCAGUGUCUUUGUCUGUUGGUUUGUUUUUGUUUGUCCCCUUUGUGUUCUGUGUUAAUUUCUACCUCAGUUUGUUUCUAAUGUUAAUGGUUACAAAGCUUUUAACUGUGCUCACUAAAGCUUGCAUUAAAAUGUAAAGUGCUGUCAACAGACUAAAAGAAUUGUCAAAAGUAAAAGCUAAAGGUAAAAAAGGCAUUCCAGAGAUUUUCUUCAUUUAGGAACUGGGCCAGAUGGUCAACAGGGUACAUCAUGUCAGUUCCUAUAGAGGACAGAUUAAAACUGAAGUGUUUUAUAAAAUUAUUAUUCCUGAAUUGUAAAACAAAGCAUAAUUUUGUCUAGGAAAUUUGGCUUUUGUUUCUCAGUAUUUGCAAGCAUGUAUUAACUCCCAACUAUUAAAAAUGGUCUAUUUUUCAAUGUCAGGCUAAAAUUUGGUGGCCACUAUCCAAGAAACCAGAAAAACCAGUUUGAAAUGGGACCCCAACCUGGGGGACUCUCCCAAGGAGACCAAUGGAGCUGUGUCUUUGGGAAGUUCUUUCAGGGAAAAAUAAGGCCCCUUCAUUUGUCUAUGUUCCCUUAACACUUUCCAGCUUUGAUGAACAGGACGACCUCAGGAAAAAGGUCAGAAAGG
RNAcentral lists this long non-coding RNA (1454 nucleotides) under Ictidomys tridecemlineatus (thirteen-lined ground squirrel). Its description in RNAcentral is "lncRNA (ENSSTOG00000029288.1)". The record is from RNAcentral. Lineage: Eukaryota; Metazoa; Chordata; Mammalia; Rodentia; Sciuridae.